CCGGCACCGAACCAGGAGGUGGGCAGCCUUGCCGGCCAUGGACCGCCGGAGCUGAGUCGCCUGCGGAGCCCUGAGCUCUUUCUCCUCCCAAGCCCCGAGCCCGCGGUGCCCUAGCUCCUUUUCGCCUUCGCCCUGGAAAGGCGGGGAAAAGAGGGACAUUAACCCGAAGAGAGAAAGAAGGGGGUGAAAAGGGAAAAGCCAGCGUCUCUCCAGAGGCAAUUUCCCAUUGCCCUCUCAACAAACGGCGCGGCAGAAAGUUUAGGGGCCGACUUUCACUCAUUUUGCGCCCAGUUUUUGCCAGACCCUAAAAUGAAAGGACAAAAUUUGGCUCCGACUCUUGCAGCUCUGAUGGCGACUUGUGCGUUUUCAGCGGCAUCUCCUGGAGAAAAAGCCAUGCGCGCCUGAUUGUUCUGUGGCCCCAAGGCUGCAGUGGGUGUGUGUGUUUGGGUGUGUGUCUCUGUGUGUACACAGACGUCCGCACACUAGCUCGGCUGCAGGAUCAGCCCCUGGAAGCAGACGUUUCGGCCACAAACCGAGAGAGGAGGAGCUGGAGAUCAGGAGGCGUGAGCAGCCAGAAGUUUGCAGAAUCCGUGGUGUGAAUGAACUGGGGGCACCUGGGCGCAGGGAUCGGCCCCCCUUCCCCCGCCUCGGGCCAGAGUUGAGUAGUG
Molecule: long non-coding RNA, 668 nt
Filed under: Marmota monax (woodchuck)
Lineage: Eukaryota; Metazoa; Chordata; Mammalia; Rodentia; Sciuridae
Source: RNAcentral